RNAcentral lists this ribosomal RNA (441 nucleotides) under uncultured bacterium. RNAcentral describes it as "partial 16S ribosomal RNA". It matches the Rfam family "Bacterial small subunit ribosomal RNA", at positions 338 to 795 of the family's 1533-position model. The record is from RNAcentral.
CCUACGGGAGGCAGCAGUGGGGGAUAUUGCACAAUGGGGGAAACCCUGAUGCAGCGACGCCGCGUGUGGGAAGACGGUCCUCUGGAUUGUAAACCACUGUCCCCAGGGACGAAGAUGACGGUACCUGGGGAGGAAGCCCCGGCUAACUACGUGCCAGCAGCCGCGGUAAUACGUAGGGGGCAAGCGUUAUCCGGAAUUACUGGGUGUAAAGGGGGCGCAGGCGGGAAUGCCAGGCAGGAGUGAAAUCCCUGGGCCUAAACCCGGGACUGCUGUUGAAACUGGGGGGCUGGAGUGGAGGGGAGGCAGGCGGAAUGCCUGGUGUAGCGGUGAAAUGCGUAGAUAUCAGGAGGAACACCGGUGGCGAAGGCGGCCUGCUGGACUGCAACUGACGCUGAGGCACGAAAGCGUGGGGAGCAAACAGGAUUAGAUACCCGAGUAGUC